GACGAACGCUGGCGGCAGGCCUAACACAUGCAAGUCGAGCGCGAACGUCUUCGGAUGAGUAAAGCGGCGAACGGGUGAGUAAUGCAUGGGAAUCUGCCUGGUAGUGGGGGACAACGUUUCGAAAGGGACGCUAAUACCGCAUACGCACUACGGGGGAAAGGGGGGGAUCUUCGGACCUCUCGCUAUCAGAUGAGCCCAUGUCAGAUUAGCUAGUUGGUAAGGUAAAGGCCUACCAAGGCGACGAUCUGUAACUGGUCUGAGAGGAUGAUCAGUCACACUGGAACUGAGACACGGUCCAGACUCCUACGGGAGGCAGCAGUGGGGAAUAUUGGACAAUGGGGGCAACCCUGAUCCAGCCAUGCCGCGUGUGUGAAGAGGGCCCUUGGGUUGUAAAGCACUUUCAGUGGGGAGAAAGGUCUGGCACCUAAUACGUGUUGGAAUUGAUGUUACCCACAGAAGAAGCACCGGCUAACUCCGUGCCAGCCGCCGCCGUAA
RNAcentral lists this ribosomal RNA (495 nucleotides) under uncultured bacterium. RNAcentral's name for it is "partial 16S ribosomal RNA". It matches the Rfam family "Bacterial small subunit ribosomal RNA", at positions 28 to 523 of the family's 1533-position model. The record is from RNAcentral.